GCGUCAGCCGGUUAGUGCAACGGUUAGCAUACGUUCCCGGAAAGAGUGAGAUCUGGGUUCGAAUCCCGGCUGACGCA
Molecule: non-coding RNA, 77 nt
Organism: Parelaphostrongylus tenuis
Lineage: Eukaryota; Metazoa; Nematoda; Chromadorea; Rhabditida; Metastrongylidae
Source: the annotation of a GenBank genome assembly